GAUGAACGCUGGCGGCGUGCUUAACACAUGCAAGUCGAACGAUGAAGCCCAGCUUGCUGGGUGGAUUAGUGGCGAACGGGUGAGUAACACGUGAGUAACCUGCCCUUAACUCUGGGAUAAGCCUGGGAAACUAGGUCUAAUACCGGAUAGGAGCGCCUACCGCAUGGUGGGUGUUGGAAAGAUUUAUCGGUUUUGGAUGGACUCGCGGCCUAUCAGCUUGUUGGUGAGGUAAUGGCUCACCAAGGCGACGACGGGUAGCCGGCCUGAGAGGGUGACCGGCCACACUGGGACUGAGACACGGCCCAGACUCCUACGGGAGGCAGCAGUGGGGAAUAUUGCACAAUGGGCGAAAGCCUGAUGCAGCGACGCCGCGUGAGGGAUGACGGCCUUCGGGUUGUAAACCUCUUUCAGUAGGGAAGAAGCGAAAGUGACGGUACCUGCAGAAGAAGCACCGGCUAACUACGUGCCAGCAGCCGCGGUAAUACGUAGGGUGCGAGCGUUAUCCGGAAUUAUUGGGCGUAAAGAGCUCGUAGGCGGUUUGUCGCGUCUGUCGUGAAAGUCCGGGGCUUAACCCCGGAUCUGCGGUGGGUACGGGCAGACUAGAGUGCAGUAGGGGAGACUGGAAUUCCUGGUGUAGCGGUGGAAUGCGCAGAUAUCAGGAGGAACACCGAUGGCGAAGGCAGGUCUCUGGGCUGUAACUGACGCUGAGGAGCGAAAGCAUGGGGAGCGAACAGGAUUAGAUACCCUGGUAGUCCAUGCCGUAAACGUUGGGCACUAGGUGUGGGGACCAUUCCACGGUUUCCGCGCCGCAGCUAACGCAUUAAGUGCCCCGCCUGGGGAGUACGGCCGCAGGGCUAAAACUCAAAGGAAUUGACGGGGGCCCGCACAAGCGGCGGAGCAUGCGGAUUAAUUCGAUGCAACGCGAAGAACCUUACCAAGGCUUGACAUGUUCUCGAUCGCCGUAGAGAUACGGUUUCCCCUUUGGGGCGGGUUCACAGGCGGUGCAUGGUUGUCGUCAGCUCGUGUCGUGAGAUGUUGGGUUAAGUCCCGCAACGAGCGCAACCCUCGUUCCAUGUUGCCAGCACGUAAUGGUGGGGACUCAUGGGAGACUGCCGGGGUCAACUCGGAGGAAGGUGAGGACGACGUCAAAUCAUCAUGCCCCUUAUGUCUUGGGCUUCACGCAUGCUACAAUGGCCGGUACAAUGGGUUGCGAUACUGUGAGGUGGAGCUAAUCCCAAAAAGCCGGUCUCAGUUCGGAUUGGGGUCUGCAACUCGACCCCAUGAAGUCGGAGUCGCUAGUAAUCGCAGAUCAGCAACGCUGCGGUGAAUACGUUCCCGGGCCU
RNAcentral lists this ribosomal RNA (1343 nucleotides) under uncultured bacterium. RNAcentral's name for it is "bacterial SSU rRNA". It matches the Rfam family "Bacterial small subunit ribosomal RNA", at positions 28 to 1381 of the family's 1533-position model. The record is from RNAcentral.